UGGAGUGAUGGGAUUCUGAGCUG
This 23-nucleotide non-coding RNA is filed under the name Cricetulus griseus (Chinese hamster). Lineage: Eukaryota; Metazoa; Chordata; Mammalia; Rodentia; Cricetidae. The record is from RNAcentral.